GCUAUUCGAGGUGAGAAAGGUUCCUCACACGCUACAUUAGUAGUCAAUAGAGAUGCAGGAUUGCCGACCUGCCGAAUAGC
RNAcentral lists this non-coding RNA (80 nucleotides) under unclassified sequences. Its description in RNAcentral is "skipping-rope RNA". It matches the Rfam family "skipping-rope RNA". From Rfam's summary of the family: Firmicutes, Fusobacteria, AlphaProteobacteria, Spirochaetes. Downstream gene The record is from Rfam by way of RNAcentral.